GAGUUUGAUCAUGGCUCAGAUUGAACGCUGGCGGCAUGCCUUACACAUGCAAGUCGAGCGGCAGCGCGGGGGCAACCCUGGCGGCGAGCGGCGAACGGGUGAGUAAUACAUCGGAACGUGUCCAGUAGGCGGGGGAUAACCUCUCGAAAGAGAGGCUAAUACCGCAUACGACCUACGGGUGAAAGCGGGGGACCGCAAGGCCUCGCACUAUUGGAGCGGCCGAUGUCGGAUUAGCUAGUUGGCGGGGUAAAAGCCCACCAAGGCGACGAUCCGUAGCUGGUCUGAGAGGACGAUCAGCCACACUGGAACUGAGACACGGUCCAGACUCCUACGGGAGGCAGCAGUGGGGAAUUUUGGACAAUGGGGGCAACCCUGAUCCAGCCAUGCCGCGUGAGUGAAGAAGGCC
This 406-nucleotide ribosomal RNA is filed under the name uncultured beta proteobacterium. RNAcentral's name for it is "bacterial SSU rRNA". It matches the Rfam family "Bacterial small subunit ribosomal RNA", at positions 9 to 416 of the family's 1533-position model. Lineage: Bacteria; Pseudomonadati; Pseudomonadota; Betaproteobacteria. The record is from RNAcentral.